GACGAACGCUGGCGGCGUGCUUAACACAUGCAAGUCGAACGGUGAAGCGCCUUACUUUUUGGUGGGUGUGGAUGAGUGGCGAACGGGUGAGUAACACGUGAGUAACCUGCCCCCUUCUUCUGGAUAACCGCAUGAAAGUGUGGCUAAUACGGGAUAUUCUGGGUCUGUCGCAUGAUGGGUCUGGGAAAGAUAUUGUUUCGGUGGGGGAUGGGCUCGCGGCCUAUCAGCUUGUUGGUGGGGUGAUGGCCUACCAAGGCGGUGACGGGUAGCCGGCCUGGGAGGGUGGACGGUGACACUGGGACUGAGACACGGCCCAGACUCCUACGGGAGGCAGCUGUGGUGAAUAUUGCACAAUGGGCGCAAGCCUGAUGCAGCUACGCCGCGUGAGGGAUGGAGGCCUUCGGGUUGUGAACCUCUUUCGCCAGUGAAGCAGGCCUGCCUCGUUUGUGGGUGGGUUGACGGUAGCUGGAUAAGAAGCGCCGGCUAACUACGU
This 493-nucleotide ribosomal RNA is filed under the name uncultured bacterium. RNAcentral's name for it is "partial 16S ribosomal RNA". It matches the Rfam family "Bacterial small subunit ribosomal RNA", at positions 28 to 506 of the family's 1533-position model. The record is from RNAcentral.